CACAAUGUUAUACUGGAGAGCAGGAAGAGCUCUGUUGGGUAUAUGUAACAGGCUUUUGUUUUUAUUCUAUGUGGCUCUUUGCA
Chlorocebus sabaeus (green monkey) is the source of this 83-nucleotide microRNA precursor. Lineage: Eukaryota; Metazoa; Chordata; Mammalia; Primates; Cercopithecidae. The record is from Ensembl.